This 447-nucleotide ribosomal RNA is filed under the name uncultured bacterium. RNAcentral's name for it is "bacterial SSU rRNA". It matches the Rfam family "Bacterial small subunit ribosomal RNA", at positions 355 to 825 of the family's 1533-position model. The record is from RNAcentral.
UCGGGAAUAUUGGACAAUGGGCGAAAGCCUGAUCCAGCCAUGCCGCGUGAGUGACGAAGGCCUUAGGGUUGUAAAACUCUUUCGUCGGGGACGAUAAUGACGGUACCCGAAGAAGAAGCUCCGGCUAACUUCGUGCCAGCAGCCGCGGUAAUACGAAGGGAGCUAGCGUUGUUCGGAAUCACUGGGCGUAAAGCGCACGUAGGCGGAUAGUUAAGUCAGGGGUGAAAUCCCGGGGCUCAACCUCGGAACUGCCUUUGAUACUGAGAGUCUCGAGACCGGAAGAGGUGAGUGGAAUUCCUAGUGUAGAGGUGAAAUUCGUAGAUAUUAGGAAGAACACCAGUGGCGAAGGCGGCUCACUGGUCCGGUUCUGACGCUGAGGUGCGAAAGCGUGGGGAGCAAACAGGAUUAGAUACCCCUGUAGUCCCUGAGCGGGCUGGCAAGGCGCAU